This 115-nucleotide small nuclear RNA is filed under the name Pseudo-nitzschia fraudulenta. RNAcentral's name for it is "partial Dictyostelium signal recognition particle". The record is from RNAcentral. Lineage: Eukaryota; Bacillariophyta; Bacillariophyceae; Bacillariales; Bacillariaceae.
GCUUCCGGUGCCGGAAGGACAGAGAAGAAACCCGAACCAAAAGGCGAAGGGUGUGGUACUGACGGUAGCUUCAACGGGAACGACAACGGCGGCACCCUCCAGCAAGCAUUUCGGA